RNAcentral lists this ribosomal RNA (462 nucleotides) under uncultured bacterium. RNAcentral's name for it is "partial 16S ribosomal RNA". It matches the Rfam family "Bacterial small subunit ribosomal RNA", at positions 28 to 507 of the family's 1533-position model. The record is from RNAcentral.
GACGAACGCUGGCGGCGUGCUUAACACAUGCAAGUCGAACGGUAAGGCCUUUCGGGGUACUCGAGUGGCGAACGGGUGAGUAACACGUGGGUGAUCUGCCCUGCACUUCGGGAUAAGCCCGGGAAACUGGGUCUAAUACCGGAGAGGACUGCUCGGGGCAUGCCGUGUGGUGGAAAGAUUUAUCGGUGCAGGAUGGGCCCGCGGCCUAUCAGCUUGUUGGUGGGGUAAUGGCCUACCAAGGCGACGACGGGUAGCCGGCCUGAGAGGGCGACCGGCCACACUGGGACUGAGACACGGGCCAGACUCCUACGGGAGGCAGCAGUGGGGAAUAGUGCACAAUGGGCGGAAGCCUGAUGCAGCGACGCCGCGUGAGGGAUGACGGCCUUCGGGUUGUAAACCUCUUUCAGCAGGGACGAAGCGUGAGUGACGGUACCUGCAGAAGAAGCACCGGCCAACUACGUG